This 490-nucleotide ribosomal RNA is filed under the name uncultured bacterium. Its description in RNAcentral is "partial 16S ribosomal RNA". It matches the Rfam family "Bacterial small subunit ribosomal RNA", at positions 28 to 507 of the family's 1533-position model. The record is from RNAcentral.
GAUGAACGCUAGCUACAGGCUUAACACAUGCAAGUCGAGGGGCAGCAUGGUCUUAGCUUGCUAAGGCCGAUGGCGACCGGCGCACGGGUGAGUAACACGUAUCCAACCUGCCGUCUACUCUUGGACAGCCUUCUGAAAGGAAGAUUAAUACAAGAUGGCAUCAUGAGUCCGCAUGUUCACAUGAUUAAAGGUAUUCCGGUAGACGAUGGGGAUGCGUUCCAUUAGAUAGUAGGCGGGGUAACGGCCCACCUAGUCUUCGAUGGAUAGGGGUUCUGAGAGGAAGGUCCCCCACAUGAGAACUGAGACACGGUCCAAACUCCUACGGGAGGCAGCAGUGAGGAAUAUUGGUCAAUGGGCGAGAGCCUGAACCAGCCAAGUAGAGUGAAGGAUGACUGCCCUAUGGGUUGUAAACUUCUUUUAGAAAGGAAUAAAGUCGGGUAUGGAUACCCGUUUGCAUGUACUUGAUGAAUAAGGAUCGGCUAACUCCGUG